Molecule: unclassified non-coding RNA, 345 nt
Filed under: soil metagenome
Description: partial contains 5.8S ribosomal RNA, internal transcribed spacer 2, and large subunit ribosomal RNA
Rfam family: 5.8S ribosomal RNA (bases 1-120)
Source: RNAcentral
GAUGAAGAACGUAGCGAAAUGCGAUACGUAAUGUGAAUUGCAGAAUUCAGUGAAUCAUCGAGUCUUUGAACGCACAUUGCGCCCCCUGGUAUUCCGGGGGGCAUGCCUGUCCGAGCGUCAUUGCUGCCCUCAAGCACGGCUUGUGUGUUGGGCCUCCGUCCUCCUCCCGGGGGACGGGCCCGAAAGGCUGCGGCGGCACCGCGUCCGGUCCUCGAGCGUAUGGGGCUUCGUCACCCGCUCUUGUAGGCCCGGCCGGCGCUUGCCGACACAUCAAUCUUUUUUCCAGGUUGACCUCGGAUCAGGUAGGGAUACCCGCUGAACUUAAGCAUAUCAAUAAGCGGAGGA